RNAcentral lists this ribosomal RNA (483 nucleotides) under uncultured bacterium. RNAcentral describes it as "partial 16S ribosomal RNA". It matches the Rfam family "Bacterial small subunit ribosomal RNA", at positions 28 to 523 of the family's 1533-position model. The record is from RNAcentral.
GAUGAACGCUGGCGGCGUGCCCAAUACAUGCAAGUCGAGCGAACCACUUCGGUGGUGAGCGGCGAACGGGUGAGUAACACGUAGGUGAUCUGCCCAUCAGACGGGGACAACGAUUGGAAACGCUCGCUAGUACCGGAUAGGACGAAAGUUUAAAAGUGCUUCUGGCACCGCUGCUGGAUGAGCCUGCGGCGCAUUAGCUAGUUGGUAGGGUAAAGGCCUACGACGGCGACGAUGCGUAGCCGACCUGAGAGGGUGAACGGCCACACUGGGACUGAGACACGGCCCAGACUCCUACGGGAGGCAGCAGUAGGGAAUCUUCGGCAAUGGGCGAAAGCCUGACCGAGCAACGCCGCGUGAAUGAUGAAGGCCUUCGGGUUGUAAAAUUCUGUUAUAAGGGAAGAACGACUUUAGUAGGAAAUGGCUAGAGUGUGACGGUACCUUAUGAGAAAGCCACGGCUAACUACGUGCCAGCCGCCGCCGUAA